Molecule: long non-coding RNA, 447 nt
Organism: Rhipicephalus sanguineus (brown dog tick)
Lineage: Eukaryota; Metazoa; Arthropoda; Arachnida; Ixodida; Ixodidae
Exons: 4
Source: RefSeq, a predicted model, not a curated record
AGGAUGGACUUGGUCGGAGUUGUAAAUGGUCAAUACGAGACACGGCUCACAGGUCUUUCACCGUUGGGUGGGAUGUGCGUUUAUGGACAAAAUGCGCUAAUUUUUGAAGACGAAUAUAUGACAUUUUCCGGAUUGGAUGUAGCAGUGCACGAAGUCGGUCACAUGUUAGGAGCGCCACAUGACGUAUACCCACCUCAGUACGAGAGUCUGUGUGGAUGGGGGCUUGGCUACAUCAUGAGUUAUGUCGACGGUGGACAAAGGAAGCACCUGUUUUCACCCUGCAGUCAAGCGCGCAUACGACACUCUCUCAGCCUAAAACCACAAUCAUGCUUAGAUGUGACGUUUGUACACGACUACCUUACACGAUUGCCCGGGGUGUACCCAGGAAAAGUGGUUGACGGCAAUGCCUUCUGCAAGUUCAAGCACCCGGACAUAGCUGCCAUAUAC